AUUAAGAGUUCUAUUUUGAUACUACUACCUUCAUCAUCUCCUCAUGCAGCUAGACCAACACAUUGAUAUCCUAUUUGUAACCCCAACAAUUCUGUAACUAUUUAUAGAUGAAGGAUUGUUGGGGUUACCGAUGGAUCCAAUUUGGUUGAGCUAUCGAAGAAGAAGAUGAAGGUAGUAGUUUCAAAAUGGAACCUUCAAU
Molecule: microRNA precursor, 199 nt
Filed under: Brachypodium distachyon (stiff brome)
Lineage: Eukaryota; Viridiplantae; Streptophyta; Magnoliopsida; Poales; Poaceae
Description: miR7723b stem-loop (bdi-MIR7723b)
Rfam family: MIR7723 microRNA precursor family
Source: miRBase by way of RNAcentral